RNAcentral lists this transfer RNA (67 nucleotides) under Pundamilia nyererei. RNAcentral's name for it is "tRNA-Ser". Lineage: Eukaryota; Metazoa; Chordata; Actinopteri; Cichliformes; Cichlidae. The record is from RNAcentral.
GAGAGAGGUUGACAACAACAAAAACUGCUAAUUUUUGCCUCUUAGGUUAGACUCCUGAGCUCACUCA